This 2382-nucleotide long non-coding RNA is filed under the name Homo sapiens (human). Its description in RNAcentral is "non-protein coding lnc-MACROD1-1:9". Lineage: Eukaryota; Metazoa; Chordata; Mammalia; Primates; Hominidae. The record is from RNAcentral.
CCGGCGGCUGCGGGGCCUCUGGGUUGCUUUCCCUCUCGCUCCCGAGUGCCGCGAGUUCCAGGCGGUCCCCGGGAUCGCCAGCGGCACAGGGCCCCAGCCCUUCGCCCGCGCAUCGGGAUGGGGGUCCUAGCCGGUGGGAGCUGCCUGUCCCUCGAGCGCCAGCUACCCGCGUUGUCCAGCGCUCCGGCCUCGGCCCGGCCCUCCUGCCUCCUGGCUGUUAGGUUCUGAAUGUUCCGGAAAUGCCACGUGACCGCGAGGGCGCUUGGGCUUGGGCUGGACAGGCCGGGGAUCUCACCGCGGCGGGCCCGGCUGUCCCGCUUGGGCGUCCUCAGUGGAACCGCACACCCUUUCUCAGCGCGCCGGUCGUUUGGUCCUGUAGGGCCGAGGGGAAUUCGUGCGGUGUUGAGCACGCGGGAAGCACUUAACGAAAGGGAGCUGCCCCUCAGCCCUCGUGAGUCCGAUGUAAAGGAGUGAAGGAGACGAAGAACUGAAUCAGUAGUUGACCGCCUGUGAGCUGGCGAGCUGUGCCCUGGUAGGGCCUUAAAUCCCAGCCCCAGAAGUCGGAGGCAGGGCAGGCACCCCAAAGCGUGGAAGAGAUGCACCUGCGGAGUGAAAAUGCUGCUAUUGCUUCUAGGGUCAGCCUUGGUUCCUGGAACAAAGGAGCCGCAUGACUCGGGUCUGGCGAUGAUGUUGGGCUCUGCAGUGUCCUCAUCCUUCCCCCUCUCUGGGUAAUGAUAUCUUCCCAGGGUUUAAAGUGUGUCCUCUCUGCCAGUAGCUUGUCUCCACAGCCUCAUCUUUAAUUCCACCUGCCCCACCCAUUUUGGACACUGCAGCCAAGUUGCAGCAGAUCCGCAAACCUGGUAAUCCCUCACUUGAAAGUGCUGGAGGCUUUAGGAUGGGGUUCAGGGCCUGUGCAAUCUAACCGCCUGCUUUUUUUUUUUUUUUUUUUUUUUUUUUUUUGAGACGGAGUCGAAUCUCACUGUCUCCCAGGCUGGAGUGCAGUGGCGCCAUCACAGCUCAUUGCAGCCUCAACCUCCUGAGCUCAAGCCAUCCUCCCACCUCAGCCUCCCAAGUACCUGGGGUUACAGGCAAGCACCAUUACGCCUAGCUAAUUUUUCUGGGUUUUUUUUUUUUGUUUUUUUUUUUGUAUAGAUGGAUUUCGCCAUGUUGUCCAGGCUGGUCUUAAACUCUCGCUCUGUCUCCCAGGCUAGAGUGCAGUGGGGCAAUCUCGGCUCCCUGCAACCUCUGCCUCCUGGGUUCAAGCAAUUAUCCUGCCUCAGCCUACCAGUUAGCUGGGAUUACAUGUGUGCGCCACCGCGCCCGGCUAAUUUUUUUAUUUUUAGUAGAGGCGGGGUUUCACCAUGUUGACCAGGCUGGUCUCAAGACUACUGACCUCAAGUGAUCCCCCCCCCCCCCCGCCUCGGCCUCCCAAAGUGCUGGGAUUACAGACGUGAGCCACCGUGCCCAGCGGUUUUGCAUUUUCAAUUGUGGGGCACGGUGAGAAAAGACUUGAAGAAAGCAAGGGAGUGAGAUCCAUGGAAAUGUAGGGGGGAACCUUGCAGGCCUAUGGAACAGCCAGUGCAAAGGGCCUGGGGUGGGAGCUGCCUCAGGGUAGCCAGGAUGGCAGGAGGCACAGCUGCCGAGAGGAAGCAGGGGCCAGGUCCUGCAAGGUUAGAGGCCAUUGCUACUCCUGAACACAUUGGCAGGUUUUGAGCAGAGAAGUGACAUGAUUUUAGUUUUCUCAGGAUCCCUCUGGCUGCUGUGUGGAGGAAGAGGGGAGGGUGAGAGCAGGGAUACCUCUUAGGAGGCUGUGGUAGUAAUCCCAGGGAGCCAGGAUGGGAGCAGAGGAGGGGACAGGAAUUGGAUUCUGGAUGCAUUUUGGAGGGAGCAUGAAGGAAAGCGGGGUCAAAGGUUCCUCUGAGGCCUUGGCUGCCUCUCUUAUUCAUCUACAUCCAUUCUGUCAAGGACACCUUUCAUUUCUUCUUGGCACUGUCUCAAGGCCACCACGCUGCUGCCCACCUGACCAGCAGUGGCCUUUCCAGGCCUUCCAUCUUCUCCCCAGCAGCUUAUCUCUGCGUAGCCAGGUCCCAUUUCCCACACACCUUUUUUUAAAGUGUGUUGCACUGCUCUGGGUGCAGGACUGUAGCAGUGACCAGGGCAGCUCCAGAUGAAGCUUCUGCUCACAGGAACCUUUUCUACUGAAACAGAUGAUACCUAAACUCUCAGCUGUGUGACUUUAAGCAACUUGCACAACCUCUCUGUACUUCAGUUGCCUCCAUCUUCAAAUGGGGAUUAAAAAGUGUUGACAUCAUAGUGGUUGUGAGGAUUACAUGAUUUGAUAGUUUAUAAAGCACUUAGAACUUGUGAAGAAGAGUGCCUGGG